UGGCAGGGGGUCACCAGGUGGUCAGGAAACAAGGAAAGGGCAAUAGACUAUUGAAACAAGUGAAUGAAAGUUUCAUUUGAAACUUCACCAUCUCUCUCUUUGUUAAUGACAUCUAUACUCUCUCUCUCCACUUUCAAUUUCGAUAAUCACCUCCAUCCAUCCUCGCCGGAGAGGAGCGACGGCUGGCGGCGUUGUCGUCCUCUCCGGCAGCGCAACACUGCGGAACCCUAAAGCCUAAACACAAACCUCAGUUAUUUUUUCGUCCUUUUUUCGAAUCUCCACUUAUUUUCACCUAAAUCCCAACCAGAUGAGAGAUCAAGCCUACCUGAAAACCCUAACUAACAAAACUCGAAAUCAAAACCCAAUAUAUUCAAAACACAAAUAUUAAUCACAAUUCAGGAAAUUUACAAUUCAUAACAAGCAUUAACAGAACAAGAAAGUCAUAGGUACAUCGGUUAUCAAGAAAAAUCCAGGAAUUUUAAAGGUAUGAGACAAAACGAAAUAUCAUGUUGAUGUCUGUAAGCGAGGUAUUUCAAACAAAAGAAAUAUCUACCAAGAACUUCUUCAGACAAAUUAAAGUGGUGUAUGAAGGCCCAAGUGGUGUAUGAGGCGCUAGAUGACAGAAAACCAAGUGGUGUAUGAAGCCAAAUACUUACAAAUUUGAGAGGAUCCACACUUAGAAAUUCUUUUUGAUUUGUUCAAUUCUUGUUGUAAAGAAAAUUUGUGUUAUAUUUAUUGUAAAAAUAAAUAUAUGAGAAAGUCUGCUCUUUGUGACAAAGUGAUCAUUGCACUUA
This is a long non-coding RNA of Lathyrus oleraceus (garden pea), 794 nucleotides long. RefSeq lists it as uncharacterized. The transcript is spliced from 2 exons. The record is from RefSeq and is a predicted model, not a curated record. Lineage: Eukaryota; Viridiplantae; Streptophyta; Magnoliopsida; Fabales; Fabaceae.